This 253-nucleotide ribosomal RNA is filed under the name uncultured bacterium. Its description in RNAcentral is "partial 16S ribosomal RNA". It matches the Rfam family "Bacterial small subunit ribosomal RNA", at positions 524 to 776 of the family's 1533-position model. The record is from RNAcentral.
GACAGAGGGUGCAAACGUUGUUCGGAAUUACUGGGCAUAAAGCGCACGUAGGUGGUCCGCUAAGUCGCGUGUGAAAUCCCCCGGCUCAACCGGGGAAAUGCGCGUGAUACUGGCGGGCUUGAGAUCGGGAGGGGUGAAUGGAACUCCAGGUGGAGCGGUGAAAUGCGUAGAUAUCUGGAGGAACACCGGUGGCGAAAGCGGUUCACUGGCCCGACACUGACACUGAGGUGCGAAAGCCAGGGGAGCAAACGGG